ACGGGGGAGAGCAGUAGGGAAUUUCCGCAAUGGACGAAAGUCUGACGGACCAACGCCGCGUGAGUGAUGAAGGUUUUCGGCUUGUAAAAUUCUGUUGUUAGGGAAGAACAAGUACGAGAGUAACUGGUCGUUCCUUGGCGGUUCCUAGCCAGAAAACCCCGGCUAAAUUCGUGCCCGCCGCCGCGGUAAUAUGUAGGUGGCCAGCGUUAUCCGGAAUUAUUGGGCGUAAAGCGCGUGCCGGCGGUUCAUUAAGUUUGAUGUGAAAGCCCCCGGCUCAACCGUGGAGGGUCAUUGGAAACUGGGGAACUUGAGUGCAGAAGAGAAAAGCGGAAUUCCACGUGUAGCGGUGAAAUGCGUAGAGCUGUGGAGGAACACCAGUGGCGAAGGCGGCCUUUUGGUCUGUAAAUGACGCUGAGGUGCGAAAGCGUGGGGAGCAAACAGGAUUAGAUACCCUCGUAGUCCACGCCGUAAACGAUGAGUGCUAAGUGUUAGAGGGUUUCCGCCCUUUAGUGCCGCAGCUAACGCAUUAAGCACUCCGCCCUGGGGAGACCGCCCC
RNAcentral lists this ribosomal RNA (556 nucleotides) under uncultured bacterium. Its description in RNAcentral is "bacterial SSU rRNA". It matches the Rfam family "Bacterial small subunit ribosomal RNA", at positions 341 to 888 of the family's 1533-position model. The record is from RNAcentral.